AUACGGAGGAUCCGAGCGUUAUCCGGAUUUAUUGGGUUUAAAGGGUGCGCAGGCGGGAGAUUAAGUCGGCGGUGAAAUUUUGCAGCUCAACUGUAAAAGUGCCUUCGAAACUGGGUUCCUUGAGUGUAGAUGAAGUAGGCGGAAUUUGUGGUGUAGCGGUGAAAUGCAUAGAUAUCACGAGGAACUCCGAUUGCGCAGGCAGCUUACUAAACUGCUACUGACGCUCAGGCACGAAGGCGUGGGGAUCAAACAGGAUUAGAUACCCUGGUAGUCCACGCAGUAAACGAUGAUUACUAGCUGUUUGCGAUACAAUGUAAGCGGCUGAGCGAAAGCGUUAAGUAAUCCACCUGGGGAGUACGUUCGCGAGAAUGAAACUUAAAGGAAUUGACGGG
RNAcentral lists this ribosomal RNA (392 nucleotides) under uncultured bacterium. RNAcentral's name for it is "partial 16S ribosomal RNA". It matches the Rfam family "Bacterial small subunit ribosomal RNA", at positions 523 to 917 of the family's 1533-position model. The record is from RNAcentral.